UGUGGCUAGAGUCUAGUGCACGAUGAUGGAU
This 31-nucleotide non-coding RNA is filed under the name Homo sapiens (human). The record is from RNAcentral. Lineage: Eukaryota; Metazoa; Chordata; Mammalia; Primates; Hominidae.